RNAcentral lists this ribosomal RNA (547 nucleotides) under Anachis varia. RNAcentral describes it as "partial small subunit ribosomal RNA". The record is from RNAcentral. Lineage: Eukaryota; Metazoa; Mollusca; Gastropoda; Neogastropoda; Columbellidae.
GACCAAAAGAUUAAGUUAUAUGUAUAGGUAAAAAGAUAGUUAGGCAAUAUAAAAAGUUUAAUAACUUUCUAUAAAAAGGUAAAAUUUGAAUAUAGAAAAUUGAUUUUUUAGAAGCUAGGAUGCUGAAGCUAUGAUAGUUUUGAGGGAAACUGGGAUUAGAUACCCCAUUAUUCAUAAAUUGUAAAUAAAUGUUAAAUUUACCAGAGUACUAUGAAUAUAUAAAGAUUUAAAACUCAAAGGGCUUGGCGGUGUUUUAGACCAAUUAGGGGAACCUGUCUCGUAAUCGACAGUCCACGUUAUACCUAACCUCCUUUUGUAAUCAGUUUGUAUACCGUUGUCGUCAGGUAACUUUUAAAAAUAUAGAAGUUGGCAAUAUUAAUGAUACAGUUAGUUAAGACGUCAGAUCAAGGUGCAGCUUAUAAGGGGGAGAGGAUGGGUUACAAUUAUUUAUUAAUAAUUACGGAUGGUUUACUGAAAAAAUCUUGAAGGAGGACUUAAAAGUAAUAUUAUAAUAUAUAAACAAUUUGAAUUAGGCUCUGAAACGUGC